CUUUGGCCACUCUUGAACUCCGUGCAGUGCUAGUCCCAAACCGGACACAGAGAUGAGAGAGAGGCACUGAACGCAGAACAGCGUUGCCGUUUUGAAGGACGCAAAACGACGAAGCAAAACGCGUUUGGAAGAGCACCUUAACUGACAACUGUACCAGUGGAAAAUCAACGACGAUUUUAUUCAGCAGCUCGCUGAAGCAGUGAGCCGAAGCACCGUGUGUAGAAGAACCGAAUGGGAAAAUCGACCAACGGUAAGAGAGACUGGAU
RNAcentral lists this small RNA (266 nucleotides) under Vigna angularis var. angularis. RNAcentral's name for it is "Non-protein coding transcript". The record is from RNAcentral. Lineage: Eukaryota; Viridiplantae; Streptophyta; Magnoliopsida; Fabales; Fabaceae.